This is a long non-coding RNA of Stomoxys calcitrans (stable fly), 328 nucleotides long. RefSeq lists it as uncharacterized. The transcript is spliced from 3 exons. NCBI's taxonomy places the organism in Eukaryota, Metazoa, Arthropoda, Insecta, Diptera, Muscidae. The record is from RefSeq and is a predicted model, not a curated record.
GUGAGACUGAGUCGUACAAUCAUCGUUCGAGUGUGGUACAUCUGACGGUGGCGGCGCGGCUGCUUAGAGUAUUUUUUGUGUGUUCCUUUUCUUUUAGAUGAUGCCGCGCUUCGGGCAACAGCACGAACAAAGGAAACAGUACGACAUCAAAGAUGAUGUCGAUCUGUAGAGGGCACCAUAUGAAAUGUGGUACAAAAACACACACCAAAAUAUGUUAUACGUGAGAAUGAUGCCCUUUGAAGCCUAAACUUUGUAUACUCUUUACCAAACUUUUUUUAUUUUACAAUACCAAAUAAUAAAAAAAAGGCAAAAAAUUUAAUUAAAUUAA